Long non-coding RNA from Hipposideros armiger (great roundleaf bat), 3083 nucleotides. RefSeq lists it as uncharacterized. The transcript is spliced from 3 exons. The record is from RefSeq and is a predicted model, not a curated record. Lineage: Eukaryota; Metazoa; Chordata; Mammalia; Chiroptera; Hipposideridae.
AAUUCUAUUCUGAGGAGGAAGAGUAGGCUUUGGCAGUGUUAAGUAGGGUUGUGAUGUGGUCAGAUUAUCAGUUUUAAAAGAUGGCUCUGAGGACUGGGCAAGGGGAGGAAGAAGGGUUCAUGACCUUCUCUCCCUAGUUUAGUUUUGAAAAAUAUUUUUGAGCCCCGUUUUAUGUAUAAAAGCCUGCCCAAAGUGUUGAGAGGCUUAGAGAGACAAAAAUAUAUGAUUUGAAAUGUAGUGAGGAUGGGGAAGAGAAACAAUGGAACUGCAAACUAACACUAUGCAAAAUUAAACUGAGGCCGCAAGGAAGGAUCAGUAGCUGUGGGGACUCUGAAGUAAUUCUGAGGGUAGGGGUGGAGUAAAAAGAUGGGGGAGGUUUCACAGGGAAGGAAGCAUUUGAAACAGCUCAGAAGAAGAAAUAGAGUUUUGUCUCUUGGAUGGUAUUGGGGAGAGAGGGUGGGAAAGUUGGGGUAUUGGUGAGAGCACUUAGAACAGUAGCUGACAUGGCAGACCCUCAGGAAAGGUUAACAGUCCUGGGCCAGGCACUGAGGAAUCAACAGGCUAGGGCUCCUGUCCCAUGUGAGGAGAUGGGCGUAGAACAGACAAGAAGCAAACAAGAGAGGAAUAGAAAGUGACAAGUGCUAUACAUUAAAAUGGAAUAAUGUUCUGCAUCCUCCAGUCCAAUUGAAUUUAUUUUCAGUCUCAGAUCUUAUCACACUGUCAAUUCUGUGCUUCUUCCCCCACCCUCCUCCCAGGCUCUAAUUAAAGGCUAAUUCAUUUUCUACUCUUAUUGAAGAUGUUACUUCCUUCUAGAAGCCUACAGACCUCCCUCCGCCACCAAACCUAAGUUAGAGACUCUGCUUCUGAUCCAUAGGAACCUAUACUUUUCCCACUCAAGAGCUCAUCACACUAGAUCUUAAUUAUCUGUUUACAAUCCUGGAUUAGAACGUGAAAUCACCAGCAGAGAUAAAGGGAGGCGUGGGAUUGGCUCUGCCUACUCACGGUCUGGCAAAACUGCAGGCUGACUGUCUCUGUAAGUCAUGCUGAAACCAGACCACUGUUGACCUCCUGAUGUGUUGGUUCUCUAGUCCCACACCUGUCAUCUGUUAAGGGUCCUCCCUGCAGCUGUGUUCCAGAGAUCACAGUGGUGCCAGAUGCAGUCCACGGAGGUAUUUUGCUUGGCUCGAGCAGGGAGAUUUUUUUUUCUUUUAAUUUGAGCUAACAUUUUUAAGUUGGGAGAUUUUACUUUGUUACACUCAGGAUUUCCAGCUUUUCUUGAAAAAUGGAAGUCUGGCAAAAAUCCCAGGGAGGUAAGCCACAGCGACCUCUGGAGUAAGGGGCUAUGCACUCCAGUUCGCUAUACCUUCAGCACACAUGCAGUGGACGUAUGCUCCACACCCAGACUGCUCCAAGGCAUUUGAGUUUUCUGCUUCGCAAGGACUAGUCUUACCCGGGGCGAUGAUCCAAACAUUUAACAAUCAGUCUCCCAAGCACCAAGGAGAACUGACACCCCUUUGGCACAGAAGGCUCAGAGCCUAGGCCCACAGAUACUUUUAAGGGCCUCCCAAAAUGUUCUAAUUUCUAUUAAAAUAAGCAAGUUAAAAAAAAAAAAGCAUUUAACAACACUAUACACAGUGAAAGAUAGAAAACUUAAAAACGAUUGUUCCCAAAGCUAAAAUCUCCUGUAUUCUGCCACUGGACUGCUCCUACUUGGCGGCACUUUCAUACCAGAGAAUUUUUAAGCAGCUUCUCCUUGCUCUGUAGGCUUCAGGAUAUAGGUUGGUGAAAGCACAUCCAUUUGUUCGUUUGGCAGUUAUUUAAUUUCUAGCAUGUGCCAAGCUCUAAAGAAGAUAAAAAGGGAGGGAGGGACAGCUAAAAAUCAGACUUAGCUCUAUAGUUAAGAGAUCCUCACUGUUUCUGGGAAUAGUCAGGGAGCAGCCUUCAAGGAGGGUGUGGUCUGUGGAUGGAAGAGUCUUUCUGAGGAGCUUGACUGCCUGCCCUAUCUCACCCCACCAAGUCAGCCUGACAAGAUUUCAGUGGCAAUAGCAGCUUCUACCUUUUCUCCCCUCCCCCACCAAAAAAGAAAAAGAAAAUGCCCAACUUACUCAUAUCUAGAAUUCCUUUCGACAAUAGUAAUUAGCAGUGGCUUUUUUUUUUUUAAACUACAAAUGCCUGGGGAACCAGAGAUAAGUAAAAAUGUUGUCAAAAAGCAUAUAGCCCAAGGAAGGGCUGAGGACAUGUUGAAAAUAAUAAAAAUUGCUGUUUUAGCUAUGAUCCUGCUAGGAAGAUUACCAUUAUCGUGUAGCAGUUGUAUCAGUAAGAUAAUAAAAUCUAUGGUUCAGAUGGAGUAUUGUGGAAAUGGGUGUUCCUAAGUGAGUGAGUGUGUGGUGUAUGUGUGACAAAGGAGGACUGAAGAUGCCCAUGGCAAGUCAUGACAACUAGCAGAGAGCAACAUCUCCUGGGGAGUUCUCACCAUGGCCCAGCAGUCCCAAGAUGGGCUUGACUUGGACAGCCGAAAGAGCACACCUUGCUUAACCUGUGACCUGCCUUAUGCCAGUCGAGAGCCUACAUCUCUCCAUGGAGACUAGAACUCCCGAGGCAAGACCGGGUAAUGUGAAAGGCUAGGUGGAGAAUGAAGUUAUGAAGAGAAAAUAAACAAGACUUUUUCUCUUACCAGUUUCAUUUGGUUGCCAGUAACACAAGUCCAACGGUUAUUUUGACAUUCCUCUCACGUUCGUGCUAGAAUGCACCUGCUCCCUGAAGUCCUCCCUCAUCAAUGCCUUCCACUAUGAUCGGCCCUCGACUGGGGCACAGUUCUGCGUGGGAACCCCUUCUUAAUAAAUCCCGAACCCCUUCUUAAUGAAUUCCGCAGAUCGUUAGAGUCUUUCUGAAUCGCCUCGUCUUGAGCAGCCGGUCCUGAGUUGUCCGCGGACUUUGGGCUCCAAACAAGAUUCCUAGUUAAAGACACAAGAACACCAGGAUGGCGGAGCUGCGGCCCCCAAGGGCGGAUGAGAGCGACCAGAGGCAAGUUAUGGGAUGGUUCUUUUGGUCAGGACAAGGACGAGGGAGAAGGGAGGUUAGUG